ACUCCUACGGGAGGCAGCAGUGGGGAAUAUUGCACAAUGGGCGCAAGCCUGAUGCAGCCAUGCCGCGUGUGUGAAGAAGGCCUUCGGGUUGUAAAGCACUUUCAGUUGUGAGGAAGGUGGUGUCGUUAAUAGCGGCAUCAUUUGACGUUAGCAACAGAAGAAGCACCGGCUAACUCCGUGCCAGCAGCCGCGGUAAUACGGAGGGUGCGAGCGUUAAUCGGAAUUACUGGGCGUAAAGCGCAUGCAGGUGGUUUGUUAAGUCAGAUGUGAAAGCCCGGGGCUCAACCUCGGAACUGCAUUUGAAACUGGCAGACUAGAGUACUGUAGAGGGGGGUAGAAUUUCAGGUGUAGCGGUGAAAUGCGUAGAGAUCUGAAGGAAUACCGGUGGCGAAGGCGGCCCCCUGGACAGAUACUGACACUCAGAUGCGAAAGCGUGGGGAGCAAACAGGAUUAGAUACCCUGGUAGCACAGGG
Molecule: ribosomal RNA, 473 nt
Filed under: uncultured bacterium
Lineage: Bacteria
Description: bacterial SSU rRNA
Rfam family: Bacterial small subunit ribosomal RNA
Source: RNAcentral